AGUGAACGCUGGCGGUAGGCCUAACACAUGCAAGUCGAACGGCAGCACAGUAAGAGCUUGCUCUUACGGGUGGCGAGUGGCGGACGGGUGAGGAAUACAUCGGAAUCUACUUUUUCGUGGGGGAUAACGUAGGGAAACUUCCGCUAAUACCGCAUACGACCUACGGGUGAAAGCAGUGGAUCUUCGGACCUUGCGCGAUUGAAUUAGCCGAUGUCGGAUUAGCUAGUUGGCGGGGUAAAGGCCCACCAAGGCGACGAUCCGUAGCUGGUCUGAGAGGAUGAUCAGCCACACUGGAACUGAGACACGGUCCAGACUCCUACGGGAGGCAGCAGUGGGGAAUAUUGGACAAUGGGCGCAAGCCUGAUCCAGCCAUACCGCGUGGGUGAAGAAGGCCUUCGGGUUGUAAAGCCCUUUUGUUGGGAAAGAAAAGCAGCAGGUUAAUACCCCGCUGUUCUGACGGUACCCAAAGAAUAAGCACCGGCUAACUUCGUG
RNAcentral lists this ribosomal RNA (492 nucleotides) under uncultured bacterium. RNAcentral's name for it is "partial 16S ribosomal RNA". It matches the Rfam family "Bacterial small subunit ribosomal RNA", at positions 29 to 507 of the family's 1533-position model. The record is from RNAcentral.